RNAcentral lists this long non-coding RNA (449 nucleotides) under Ananas comosus (pineapple). RNAcentral's name for it is "long non-coding RNA (ACOM_LNC017574)". Lineage: Eukaryota; Viridiplantae; Streptophyta; Magnoliopsida; Poales; Bromeliaceae. The record is from RNAcentral.
CCUCGCGUGGUUUCGCACUUUCUCACUUUAAUACCCUGUGAUUUAAAGUGUAUUAAUUUGGUGCCCUGUGGUUUCAUUUUUAUCUUUUCGGCAGUUUUUUCGUUAAUAUUUCGCUAAAUUAUAUACCAAAAACUUCAGAUACCUAUCUAGAUUUAUCGAAUACAGUACCCUUUAAUUUUAACUUUGUCGCUGAUUUAAGGAAAAAAAAAUAGUGAAAUUGAUAAUAAAAAGAGAAAAAUGGAACCACAUGGCACUAAAUUGAUUCACUUUAAACCACAGGGUACUAAAGUGAGAAAAUAUGAAACCGCAGGGGUUUUUUCUGAAGUUUUCCCUAAAAGAAUAUUGGAGAAAUAGUAGAACUAUUGUAGAUUUCUAAAUGAUACGAGUACCAGAUUAUCAUGAGUUAGGAGAUAUUUUUAUUUUCGUGCGUGAUAGAACUUAUUAGUAGU